AGUCGUAACAAGGUUUCCGUAGGUGAACCUGCGGAAGGAUCAUUACAACGUAUCCACGUACCAAACUCUCGAACUGUUCCCAACGGAGCAAAGCACACACUUGUGUGAGAAGUUAAUGGCCGACUGUCUUUUCGCUGAUGGAGUCCACAGACUUUUGUCUGAGGACUGAAAGGCUAUCGGUUGCUGGAGCUUCGGCUCUGGGACUUUGUUUGCUUCGUUGCGGUUUCUACCGUCAGCACUUGUUUUACCAUUAUUAACCCUUUGAAUUAUUGAACUGAACUUGAAAGCCUCGCAACCGUCCUUGUUGGCUUCGGUCACGGACAGUGUAGCUUGGUUUUUCUCAUUUACGAAACAAAGAACAACUCUUAGCAACGGAUAUCUUGGUUCUC
RNAcentral lists this unclassified non-coding RNA (389 nucleotides) under fungal sp. Its description in RNAcentral is "partial internal transcribed spacer region". The stretch from base 1 to 45 matches the Rfam family "Eukaryotic small subunit ribosomal RNA", at positions 1787 to 1831 of the family's 1831-position model. The record is from RNAcentral. Lineage: Eukaryota; Fungi.